RNAcentral lists this ribosomal RNA (253 nucleotides) under uncultured bacterium. RNAcentral describes it as "partial 16S ribosomal RNA". It matches the Rfam family "Bacterial small subunit ribosomal RNA", at positions 524 to 776 of the family's 1533-position model. The record is from RNAcentral.
UACGGAGGGGGCGAGCGUUAUUCGGAAUUAUUGGGCGUAGAGGGCGCGUAGGCGGCCCGGUAAGUCAAAGGUGAAAUCCCUCGGCUCAACUGAGGAACUGCCUUUGAAACUGUCGGGCUUGAGGCCGGGAGGGGGUAGCGGAAUUCCCAGUGUAGCGGUGAAAUGCGUAGAUAUUGGGAGGAACACCAGUGGCGAAGGCGGCUACCUGGACCGGUUCUGACGCUGAUGCGCGAAAGCGUGGGUAGCAAACAGG